RNAcentral lists this ribosomal RNA (677 nucleotides) under uncultured Bacteroidales bacterium. RNAcentral's name for it is "bacterial SSU rRNA". It matches the Rfam family "Bacterial small subunit ribosomal RNA", at positions 63 to 731 of the family's 1533-position model. The record is from RNAcentral. Lineage: Bacteria; Pseudomonadati; Bacteroidota; Bacteroidia; Bacteroidales.
CGAGGGGCAUCAGGAAGAAAGCUUGCUUUCUUUGCUGGCGACCGGCGCACGGGUGAGUAACACGUAUCCAACCUGCCCUUUACUCGGGGAUAGCCUUUCGAAAGAAAGAUUAAUACCCGAUGGGAUAAUCAUUCCGCAUGGUUUGAUUAUUAAAGGAUUCCGGUAAAGGAUGGGGAUGCGUUCCAUUAGGUUGUUGGUGAGGUAACGGCCCACCAAGCCUUCGAUGGAUAGGGGUUCUGAGAGGAAGGUCCCCCACAUUGGAACUGAGACACGGUCCAAACUCCUACGGGAGGCAGCAGUGAGGAAUAUUGGUCAAUGGGCGAUGGCCUGAACCAGCCAAGUAGCGUGAAGGAUGACUGCCCUAUGGGUUGUAAACUUCUUUUAUAUUAGAAUAAAGUGCAGUAUGUAUACUGUUUUGUAUGUAUAAUAUGAAUAAGGAUCGGCUAACUCCGUGCCAGCAGCCGCGGUAAUACGGAGGAUCCGAGCGUUAUCCGGAUUUAUUGGGUUUAAAGGGAGCGUAGGUGGACUGGUAAGUCAGUUGUGAAAGUUUGCGGCUCAACCGUAAAAUUGCAGUUGAUACUGUCAGUCUUGAGUACAGUAGAGGUGGGCGGAAUUCGUGGUGUAGCGGUGAAAUGCUUAGAUAUCACGAAGACUCCGAUUGCGAAGGCAGCUCACUG